Molecule: ribosomal RNA, 406 nt
Filed under: uncultured bacterium
Lineage: Bacteria
Description: partial 16S ribosomal RNA
Rfam family: Bacterial small subunit ribosomal RNA
Source: RNAcentral
AUUGAACGCUGGCGGCAGGCCUAACACAUGCAAGUCGAGCGAGCGGCGGACGGGUGAGUAAUGUCUGGGAAACUGCCUGCUGGAGGGGGAUAACUACUGGACACGGUAGCUAAUACCGCAUACCAUCAGAUGUGCCCAGAUGGGAGUAGCUAGUAGGUUGGGUAACGGCUCACCUCGGCGACGAUCCCUAGCUGGUCUGAGAGGAUGACCAGCUAAACAGGAACGGAGACCCGGACCGGACGCCUACGGGAGUCUGGAGUAGGGAAUGUAGCACAAUGGGCGCAAGCUUGAUGCAGCCAAGCCGCGUGAUAGAAGAAGGCCUAGGGGUUAGAAAGCACUUUCAGCGGGGAGGCGUUAACCGCAGAAGAAGCACCAGCUAACUCCGUGGCAGCAGCCGCCGUAAUAC